Molecule: small nucleolar RNA, 67 nt
Organism: Catagonus wagneri (Chacoan peccary)
Lineage: Eukaryota; Metazoa; Chordata; Mammalia; Artiodactyla; Tayassuidae
Gene: SNORD58
Rfam family: Small nucleolar RNA SNORD58
About the family: snoRNA U58 is found in introns 1, 3 and 6 of the ribosomal protein RPL17 gene in humans. U58 is a member of the C/D class of snoRNA which contain C (UGAUGA) and D (CUGA) box motifs.
Source: Ensembl
UUGCUGUGAUGACAAAUCUUAGGACACCUUUGGAUUAACCAUGAAAAAAAAACAUGUCCUGAGCAAC